GUCUUUGGAUUGCUUAUGCCCACAUGUGUUUUUCUUUGAAACAAACUUGCUUUGGCGGUGGGCCCAGCCUGCCGCCAGAGGUCUAAACUUACAACCAAUUUUUUAUCAACUUGUCACACCAGAUUAUUACUAAUAGUCAAAACUUUCAACAACGGAUCUCUUGGUUCUCGCAUCGAUGAAGAACGCAGCGAAAUGCGAUACGUAAUAUGAAUUGCAGAUAUUCGUGAAUCAUCGAAUCUUUGAACGCACAUUGCGCCCUCUGGUAUUCCGGAGGGCAUGCCUGUUUGAGCGUCGUUUCUCCCUCAAACCGCUGGGUUUGGUGUUGAGCAAUACGACUUGGGUUUGCUUGAAAGACGGUAGUGGUAAGGCGGGAUCGCUUUGACAAUGGCUUAGGUCUAACCAAAAACAUUGCUUGCGGCGGUAACGUCCACCACGUAUAUCUUCAAACUUUGACCUCAAAUCAGGUAGGACUACCCGCUGAACUUAAGCAUAUCAAUAGUCGGAGGAA
This 508-nucleotide ribosomal RNA is filed under the name Candida albicans. Its description in RNAcentral is "eukaryotic LSU rRNA". The stretch from base 141 to 294 matches the Rfam family "5.8S ribosomal RNA". The record is from RNAcentral. Lineage: Eukaryota; Fungi; Ascomycota; Pichiomycetes; Serinales; Debaryomycetaceae.